Molecule: long non-coding RNA, 775 nt
Filed under: Homo sapiens (human)
Lineage: Eukaryota; Metazoa; Chordata; Mammalia; Primates; Hominidae
Description: HSALNT0379128
Source: RNAcentral
CAUAUCCCCUGCGCACUGUCCGGAGCACUCCUUCCCUUCCCUGGUUCCUCAAGGCACGGCUCCCCCAGGCAGAUGAAAGCUUAAUAGAGUUUUGCGACAUGAAAGUCAGUCGGAGGAAAGAGCCUUGAACAGUUGUGCGUGAGAGAGAGGCAAGCGCCCGAAAUUAUUUUACGACAAAGGCAGCUCUCUCUGCCACAGAGGCACAGAGGAGAAAGGAGCCCAGGAAACGGGUCAUUUCUUUCGUGGAAAAAUGGAAAUGCUCUGAAGCAUUUUGGGAGACGUGCUGUGAAGCAGGUGACACCAGAAGACAAGGACACUGGGGGCUCCCUGCCGGGAGGCGCAAAAAGCAACUCCCGUUCGAGGGUCAGAGGAGCCUGGAUGCUAAUGUCUCUCCAAAGUGACUUGGAGCCAACUGCCGGAAAGGCCAUGCCCUUAGGAGCACAGGCAGGUCCCAGCUCAGGUGAGGAACGUGAGCUUGGGGAGGCAGAGGACAAAGCCUGGCCUGCAAGACACUGAGCUUCACCUCUUCCAGGAGGACGACAUCAUCACCAUUUCUCAGAUGAGGAAACUGAGGCUCAGAGAGAUGCAGUGACCCACCAAGGCUGAGUGCAGGAAUGUUGGCCCUCAGCAUCCACCCUGGGCCCUGCAUUGCCCUGGUUGUCUAUGUGGCCCCAGCCCUCCUGGGCCAUUUUGAUCUGUUUUGUGCAUUUGGGGCACGUGUAUGAGAGCAUGUUUGGAGAACUAUGCUUUAUAGCAAGAAGGUUUGAAAUCACCA